Molecule: non-coding RNA, 316 nt
Organism: Procambarus clarkii (red swamp crayfish)
Lineage: Eukaryota; Metazoa; Arthropoda; Malacostraca; Decapoda; Cambaridae
Source: RefSeq, a predicted model, not a curated record
AUAAUCAUGAGUCAAAGUUAAUGGCAGGAAAAGUUUUGUUCCAAGUGAUAUUUUUCCCUUGGAAGUAAAAAAAAUAUUCAAUGUUUACUUUAGCUUGGUUUUAAAUUUUUAUAGUUUUCCAGAAUGUGGUUUGGAAAGUCCAGAAGUCCCUCUGUCAGUUGCUUCAACAAAAUCAGGUGAAAGUAAGCUGACAUGCAGAGCCUUAGUCCUGAUGCAUGGACUGAGGCUCCUUUACUCUGCAAAAGGAAAUCUACAAAAGUGGGUGAUUAUCUCUGGAGUUGUCUUGGCCUUGGAUCUUCUGUUCAUCUAGGAGCAU